This 4095-nucleotide long non-coding RNA is filed under the name Hordeum vulgare. RNAcentral's name for it is "long non-coding RNA (HVUL_LNC004197)". Lineage: Eukaryota; Viridiplantae; Streptophyta; Magnoliopsida; Poales; Poaceae. The record is from RNAcentral.
CUCCUCCAGCCUCAUCUCCCUCGAUCUUCUUGAUUUGGAUCUCGGGAGCAGACAUGGGAGGGAGGCGAUGUGCCGGCGAGGCCUCUGGGACCGUGUGGCGGGCGUGAGCCCCCCACCCUCGUCCACGACGAUGAGGACUGGUUCGCGUUUUGCCUCCAGUUCCAACUCAUGGUCACGCUGGAUAUGCCCCAUGACACCGUUUGCGUCAAUCUGAAGGUUAGGGAGGACAGGGACGAGGUGCGGGCACAAAUGCAGGUCCUCUCUCUCUCGGUUGGAUCAGAAACUUCUCAAUUUUACACGCAGAAUCGACCUGAUGGUUUCUUCUAAAUGUUUAUUAAAACCUAAGAAGCUUUCUUUGUUUUGUCAUAAUCAGGUGUUGAAUGAUUCUCAAUAUCGAUCAACAAUCUAGUAGGUGGCACAUAUGGGUCCCUCACCAUGCUGUUGACACGAUGGCCCUACCGAAUCAAGGACGAGCCAUGAGAUAACAUAGCCGGCGGCUCUCGUCACGCACACCGGUUGGUCCUGCUCCGGCGAGCCGCCGCCACCGUGCCUGUUUAGAUCUCACUAUUUAGUUUAUAGGUGACCCGUGCCUCCUUUUAUCUCCCUUGCAUUAUUGAUGUGGGUAACUUCCACUCUAGUCCUAACCUUCUCUUUUGGUUUUCCGGUAGGUUCUUUGUCGGGCAGUGUAGAACUGAAAUAGUUGAAGAGAACAUCAUGAGGCGAUGCUAGAAGCUUGCUUGUGUGCUAGCCGUUGUUGUGAUUUUAAGAAAUUUACAAGUUCACUCAAUGGAAAAAAGAGGGACUAUGGUGAGAGGUGACUAAAUCUACAAUGUUGAAUCCCUUUACCAUUAGUACUCCCUCCAUUUUUAUAUACAAGGCCACAAACCCACAUUACACGUACCAACGCAAAAGUUAAUGCCUUCCAAGUCAACGUUGCAAGACAACUUGUCUCCUUGUUUACCGUGUAAAUUAAUGUGUAUUUCUCUGUCUCAUGCAUAUCAAGCCAAUGAUCUCACUCCUGCAUGCAUGCAAGGGAUAAUUAAUGUCCUGCUUUGCUAGUACUACGAGGCAAACACCAUUAAUGUUGCAUCAAUUAGUGUUAGUGGCCUUGUAUAUAUGCAAAUUGUAAUUUUUAUAGUGGCCUUGCAUAUAAAAAUGGAGGGAGUAGUUUAAAUAGCAACCAAAAUUUCUUUUCAUGAGACGGUGAUUAAUUAGUCUAAAGUUGUUCUACAUAUUAGUAAAAUGUUGUAUUUGCACUAGAAAGUUCAAUUUCUUUGCUAAACCAUGGACCGGUCAAUGUUGAAUUAGCUGAGAAUGUUUUUGAAGUUCGUUGAAUCACUUGUGUGAAUAUUUAUACCAACUAUGAGUGUUUCAUAAUCGUGGGAAUUUCUUUACCAUCUUUCAAGUACAUCGAAAUCUCCUAGGAUGGCAAACAAGAAGUCGACCAAAAUAUCCGGCAACGGUGGUGAGCAUAGUGGUGACAUGUGAUUUCCAUGCCUAUUUGUCGGCUCUACAAAAUGCACAUUUGAUUUCUCCAUAUUCAUUUGUUGAUUUCUACUUUCAUGAGAAGUUGAGAACUACUUGAGGCAGAGUAUUUACAUCCUCAAUUUCAUCCUUCACUCCUUGUAGGUGUACUUACCCUUCUCUUGCUGCUGUUGCAUCUAGAUAUGCAAUCUAUGCUAGCUUUGUGGAAGUGGAGAUGGAAAGGACGUUGUCAUUAGUCAAGUCAUGUGAGCGGGGAAGGGGCCAAAAAAGCGAAGCUAAAAACAGCUAACAGGCCCAUCAGAAUAUUGUAAGGAUGAAACUUUUCAUCCUUGCACAUCAUGUGAUAAUUGAAUACUAUAAUCACAUGACCUAUUUACUCGUUAUGAUCUCAUAUACAUAUUUUUGGGACAUUUUUUGUUCCUUUUCUUUCUUCACGGGCCAUCUUUAGUGCUUUUCCAGUUAAUGGUAUCUUUGGGCCGAAAUAUAAUAGUUGCUAAUGCCUUUGGAUCGUUUACUUUGUUGGUUUUAUGAUUCUUGGAGGAUUCAUCACAACUAAAGGUUGAUUCGUCAGAAAUAUUUUCAGCUACUUGAGGUUACAUUUUGAACCGAUACAUCUAACAUAUUGCAACCUUUUUCUGACUAUUUAAAAGAAAGCUCAGUCUGUUGGUUUUGGUGUUAUGGGAUCUCUCCUAUUAUAUAUGCACAAAAUGCUAUAUCAGUAUAUGAAUUCCAUGGGCAUUCUUGGUCCAAGGUGAACUUGAUUUUAAUAAUUCUCCGAAGAAGUUGUGCACUUUUCAUUUUGUCUCAACCAAUGUCGCUUUCAUCUUAAUCAUAGACAUGCGAGCCUAAUUUUUCUUGCAUAUUUUACUUGGUGGCUAACUCAAACUUAUUUGUUGUCAUUUUUGUAUUCAUCAUCACGAACAAGACCAGAUCACUGGAGUAGUCUCUGUCAAAACAUAUAACAAAUAAUAAGCCCUAUCACUACCUCUAGAGAACAAACAAGAGUUAAAUGAUGUAGAUUAUGAAUGAUGAACUCGUAAUGGGCGUGGAGGGCAGGUCUGCAAGGUGUUUUGGUAACCCUUUCUUGGUGUGAACAAUAUGGUCUGGUAUUGUUGUUAGUUGUCAAUCAAUCCAGGAUUUGACCUUGUUUGCAAAUUCAAGUGUUUUAUUAGAAGGAUGACGCAAAUCCAACACAAGGAACAUGUUAAUAUGCAUACUAUUGUUCUUCCUGAGUCAUUUGUGCAACAUAUAUUUUUCACCAUAGUAAUUGAAAUUUGACUCGUGUGUAGGUUGAUUUUGGUGUGUUCGAAGUUCUACAACUAUCAAAGGCUGCUCGUUCUGAAAGUUAUUCAGAAACAUGCACGCUGUGACCAACUUUUUUUUCAGAUAUCUCUAUUUUUCAAUGGUUUGUGCUGAUUCACAAAGGUGCAAUGAAAUUAUCUAAAAUCAUUUUAUUUUGGCUUCCCAUUGACUACUUUGAAGAGUGGGGCAUCCUGAUGUUUUCCUUUGACGUGCACAGUAUCCCUAUGUUUUUACACUACCAUUUUUUCAUUCUUUUUUAGUGUAUAUGAUGCACUUCUUUUGUCUAAGUUAACUCUUCAUUCUUCUCCUAUGCUCUUCCAGAUUGAUUACUCUUUAGACACUGAAUUAAAUGUUUCACAUUUUAUUGGAGAAUCAUAUAUCUAUGCUAGAUUAUAAUAUUUAGUUCAGAAUUGUGUAUCCACCUUUUUACUGAAUUUUACAAAUGUUUUUUGCUUGUUUAGUUUACCCAGCAUUAGGGCUCUCUCACAUUUUUGUCCUGAUUUUUAUAAAUAUCUGCUGGGGAUUCAUAUUUUUUCGUUAUUUCUUCCAUUUGUUUUGAAAGAGAAUAUCAGUUUUGAAUAGUCAUUAUCUUUGACCAUUAUAUUGUGAGUCGAUACAAUAAUUUCUCAUUUCAGGUCCACUCCCUCCUCGAAGAAUAUCUGAUUCAUUAUUCGUUUCGUGAAUUCUUUAUUCCAGCUCCUGCGGAGGAGGAUUAUGCACCCUUAUUAUCAUUGCGAAGAAGGCAAUAGAAGGCUAUGGAUUUUCUAGGGUGGGCACAUUUGCUGUCUGGUCUUCUGAUGCAACACUGUGAUUCACCUUUUGCUCUCUGGUUCUUGAAUUUUGGCUUUUGGCUGCUCGUGUAGUAUCGUCCUAAAUAAGUAGAUGAGUUCGAUCCAUCGUGUCCAUUUGUCCUUUGGGUAAAUAAAUGAAGAAAACUACAAAAAUAUAUAUUUUGUGCUGUGUGAUUUAUCUUGUAAGACUGUUACCUUUCUAUUAAGACACAUAUUACCUUGCUUUGCUUGCUCUGCUUUCUGAGUGAAUGCUCUGCUGCUGGUGCAGUUUAAUUAUGUCUAAUUUUUUAGAACUGGCAUUUAUUUAGACUGUAUAUACAUGUUUACAAAUUUAUCAGCUAGAUUAGUGUGUCGAGUCACGCAAAGGAGACGUGCCCUGGGUGCGUCCCUGUCACUAGUAUCUUAUUUUUUAUUUUUAUUUUUAUUUAUAAAGUUUACACUUGGUGGUCGUCCGUUCACUCCUAUGUACCACCUCUUUCUCUCAGCUCUGUCAAGCGAACCACGCGUAAGAACCUAC